This 494-nucleotide ribosomal RNA is filed under the name uncultured bacterium. RNAcentral describes it as "partial 16S ribosomal RNA". It matches the Rfam family "Bacterial small subunit ribosomal RNA", at positions 28 to 507 of the family's 1533-position model. The record is from RNAcentral.
GACGAACGCUGGCGGCGUGCUUAACACAUGCAAGUCGAACGGAAAGGCCUGCUUUCCCUUGUGGAUUGCGGGUACUCGAGUGGCGAACGGGUGAGUAACACGUGAGUGAUCUGCCCCCAACUUGGGUAUAAGCCUGGGAAACUGGGUCUAAUUCCCGAUAGGACUGCAGGGUGGUGCCUGUGGUGGAAAACGAUUUUCUAGUGGUUGGGGAUGAGCUCGCGGCCUAUCAGCUUGUUGGUGGGGUAAUGGCCUACCAAGGCGGCGACGGGUAGCCGGCCUGAGAGGGUGGACGGGCACAUUGGGACUGAGAUACGGCCCAGACUCCUACGGGAGGCAGCAGUGGGGAAUAUUGCACAAUGGGCGGAAGCCUGAUGCAGCGACGCCGCGUGGGGGAUGACGGCCUUCGGGUUGUAAACUCCUUUCGACCGCGAGGAAGCCACCUGGUUGGAAGGGUGGUGACGGUAGUGGUAGAAGAAGCACCGGCUAACUACGUG